CCUACGGGAGGCUGCAGUGGGGAAUAUUGCACAAUGGGGGAAACCCUGAUGCAGCAACGCCGCGUGAAGGAAGACGGUUUUCGGAUUGUAAACUUCUGUUCUUAGUGAAGAAUAAUGACGGUAGCUAAGGAGCAAGCCACGGCUAACUACGUGCCAGCAGCCGCGGUAAUACGUAGGUGGCAAGCGUUGUCCGGAAUUACUGGGUGUAAAGGGAGCGCAGGCGGGAAGCCAAGUCAGCUGUGAAAACUACGGGCUUAACUUGUAGACUGCAGUUGAAACUGGUUUUCUUGAGUGAAGUAGAGGUUGGCGGAAUUUCGAGUGGAGCGGUGAAAUGCUGAGAUAUCACGCAGAACCCCGAGUGCGAAGGCAGCCUGCCAAGCCAUGACUGACGCUGAUGCACGAAAGCGUGGGGAUCAAACAGGAUUAGAUACCCCUGUAGUC
Molecule: ribosomal RNA, 441 nt
Filed under: uncultured bacterium
Lineage: Bacteria
Description: partial 16S ribosomal RNA
Rfam family: Bacterial small subunit ribosomal RNA
Source: RNAcentral